This 497-nucleotide ribosomal RNA is filed under the name uncultured bacterium. RNAcentral's name for it is "partial 16S ribosomal RNA". It matches the Rfam family "Bacterial small subunit ribosomal RNA", at positions 28 to 507 of the family's 1533-position model. The record is from RNAcentral.
GAUGAACGCUGGCGGCGUGCCUAAUACAUGCAAGUCGAGCGAACAGACGAGGAGCUUGCUCCUCUGACGUUAGCGGCGGACGGGUGAGUAACACGUGGAUAACCUACCUAUAAGACUGGGAUAACUUCGGGAAACCGGAGCUAAUACCGGAUAAUAUAUUGAACCGCAUGGUUCAAUAGUGAAAGACGGUUUUGCUGUCACUUAUAGAUGGAUCCGCGCCGCAUUAGCUAGUUGGUAAGGUAACGGCUUACCAAGGCAACGAUGCGUAGCCGACCUGAGAGGGUGAUCGGCCACACUGGAACUGAGACACGGUCCAGACUCCUACGGGAGGCAGCAGUAGGGAAUCUUCCGCAAUGGGCGAAAGCCUGACGGAGCAACGCCGCGUGAUUGAUGAAGGUCUUCGGAUCGUAAAACUCUGUUAUUAGGGAAGAACAAAUGUGUAAGUAACUAUGCACGUCUUGACGGUACCUAAUCAGAAAGCCACGGCUAACUACGUG